This 493-nucleotide ribosomal RNA is filed under the name uncultured bacterium. RNAcentral describes it as "partial 16S ribosomal RNA". It matches the Rfam family "Bacterial small subunit ribosomal RNA", at positions 27 to 507 of the family's 1533-position model. The record is from RNAcentral.
GAGUGAACGCUGGCGGUAGGCCUAACCCAUGCAAGUCGAACGGCAGCACAGUAAGAGCUUGCUCUUACGGGUGGCGAGUGGCGGACGGGGGAGGAAUACAUCGGAAUCUACUUUUUCGUGGGGGAUAACGUAGGGAAACUUACGCUAAUACCGCAUACGACCUACGGGUGAAAGCAGGGGAUCUUCGGACCUUGCGCGAUUGAAUGAGCCGAUGUCGGAUUAGCUAGUUGGCGGGGUAAAGGCCCACCAAGGCGACGAUCCGUAGCUGGUCUGAGAGGAUGAUCAGCCACACUGGAACUGAGACACGGUCCAGACUCCUACGGGAGGCAGCAGUGGGGAAUAUUGGACAAUGGGCGCAAGCCUGAUCCAGCCAUACCGCGUGGGUGAAGAAGGCCUUCGGGUUGUAAAGCCCUUUUGUUGGGAAAGAAAAGCAGCAGGUUAAUACCCCGCUGUUCUGACGGUACCCAAAGAAUAAGCACCGGCUAACUUCGUG